CCUACGGGUGGCUGCAGUGGGGAAUAUUGGACAAUGGGGGCAACCCUGAUCCAGCCAUGCCGCGUGUGUGAAGAAGGCCCUCGGGUUGUAAAGCACUUUCAGUGAGGAAGAACGCCUGGUGGUUAAUACCCAUCAGGAAAGACAUCACUCACAGAAGAAGCACCGGCUAACUCCGUGCCAGCAGCCGCGGUAAUACGGAGGGUGCGAGCGUUAAUCGGAAUUACUGGGCGUAAAGCGCGCGUAGGUGGCUUGAUAAGCCGGUUGUGAAAGCCCCGGGCUCAACCUGGGAACGGCAUCCGGAACUGUCAAGCUAGAGUGCAGGAGAGGAAGGUAGAAUUCCCGGUGUAGCGGUGAAAUGCGUAGAGAUCGGGAGGAAUACCAGUGGCGAAGGCGGCCUUCUGGACUGACACUGGCACUGAGGUGCGAAAGCGUGGGUAGCAAACAGGAUUAGAUACCCUUGUAGUC
RNAcentral lists this ribosomal RNA (465 nucleotides) under Vreelandella stevensii. RNAcentral's name for it is "partial 16S ribosomal RNA". It matches the Rfam family "Bacterial small subunit ribosomal RNA", at positions 338 to 795 of the family's 1533-position model. Lineage: Bacteria; Pseudomonadati; Pseudomonadota; Gammaproteobacteria; Oceanospirillales; Halomonadaceae. The record is from RNAcentral.